This 70-nucleotide transfer RNA is filed under the name Turricula nelliae spuria. Its description in RNAcentral is "Turricula nelliae spurius tRNA-Arg". The record is from RNAcentral. Lineage: Eukaryota; Metazoa; Mollusca; Gastropoda; Neogastropoda; Clavatulidae.
AUAUAAAAAGCGAAGAACAUCGCGUACGGUUUCGGCCCGUAUUUUGGGAGUGAGAGUCUCUCUUUAUAUU